AGAGUUUGAUCAUGGCUCAGGACGAACGCUGGCGGUAUGCUUAACACAUGCAAGUCGAACGAGACAAAAGAGAAGUGCUUGCACGGAUCUUUUAGAAAGUGGCGAACGGGUGAGUAACGCGUGGGUAACCUACCCUAUGGAAAGGAAUAGCCUCGGGAAACUGGGAGUAAUGCCUUAUAAGAUAUAUUUGUCGCAUGGCAGAUGUAUUAAACGCUCCGGUGCCAUAGGAUGGACCCGCGUCCCAUUAGCUAGUUGGUGAGAUAACAGCUCACCAAGGCGACGAUGGGUAACCGGUCUGAGAGGGCGAACGGUCACACUGGAACUGAGACACGGUCCAGACUCCUACGGGAGGCAGCAGUGGGGAAUAUUGCGCAAUGGGGGAAACCCUGACGCAGCAAUACCGCGUGAGUGAAGAAGGUUUUCGGAUCGUAAAGCUCUGUUAUUGGGGAAGAAAAAAAGACGGUACCCAAGAAGAAAGUCCCGGCUAACUACGUGCCAGCAGCCGCGGUAAUACGUAGGGGACAAGCGUUGUCCGGAUUUACUGGGCGUAAAGGGCACGCAGGCGGUUUUUUAAGUCAGAUGUGAAAGGUACCGGCUCAACCGGUGACAUGCAUUUGAAACUGAAAGACUUGAGUAUUGGAGAGGCAAGUGGAAUUCCUAGUGUAGCGGUGAAAUGCGUAGAUAUUAGAGGAACACCGGUGGCGAAAGCGGCUUGCUGGACAAUACUGGCGCUGAGUGCGAAAGCGUGGGGAGCAAACAGGAUUAGAUACCCUGUAGUCCACGCCGUAA
This 789-nucleotide ribosomal RNA is filed under the name uncultured bacterium. RNAcentral describes it as "bacterial SSU rRNA". It matches the Rfam family "Bacterial small subunit ribosomal RNA", at positions 8 to 805 of the family's 1533-position model. The record is from RNAcentral.